RNAcentral lists this ribosomal RNA (250 nucleotides) under uncultured bacterium. RNAcentral describes it as "partial 16S ribosomal RNA". It matches the Rfam family "Bacterial small subunit ribosomal RNA", at positions 524 to 773 of the family's 1533-position model. The record is from RNAcentral.
UACGUAGGUGGCAAGCGUUGUCCGGAUUUAUUGGGUUUAAAGGGUGCGUAGGCGGCCAAUUAAGUCAGUGCUGAAAUAUCCCGGCUUAACCGGGAGGGUGGCAUUGAUACUGGUUGGCUUGAGUGAAGUCGAAGUAGGCGGAAUUGACGGUGUAGCGGUGAAAUGCUUAGAUAUCGUCAAGAACACCGAUAGUGUAGACAGUUUACUAGGCUUUAACUGACGCUGAGGCACGAAAGUGUGGGGAUCAAAC